CGCCCGGCCGGAUGUAAUGCAAACCAGGCUGCUGGGAAGAAGUGCGUGCUUUAAUCACGGCUCACGCCUGCUUGGCCUCAACUCCGCUUCCAUCAGCCAUGUCAAAGCUUGCUUUGAGGAGCAACUCCCUGCCUCAUCUCUGGCAUCACGCACUGCGAAAUAACAACCAUCUGCCGAAAUAAUCAUACAAAGAAUCGCAAUGAAAAAUAACACAUAAGAGCUCUAUGUGUUAGAGCUUUGCUCUAACCAACUUUGCUCUAGCCAAAUACUUUAGAGGACUCAUCUCAUUUAGACUCAGACCCUCGUGGUGGAUGGUUUGGUUAUUACCAUUUUAUAGGUGACGAUGCUGAGGCCAGGUGGGGAUAAGGAUCUUGCCCCAAAAAGUAGGGGAGACAGAACUGAACCUGGAGCCAACCGACUCUCAAGCCUGGGAUCUGAUCACUAGCCUAUUCUGCCUCCUUGGAUGACCUGACCCAGAGAUUCAGUCUACACGUUCCUGUUACCCAGAUACUGCAGUGGAAGGGCUGGGAGGGCAUCCUCCUGGCUUCCUGGAGCAUGUGCCUGUCCAGCGCUGGGGUCAGCUGUUGCAGCCAAGACCCCCUCCAGGGGCUGUGUCCUGCACCAGGCACCACACUUCCGGCCAAUGUGAGGCUUCCGACUUGGGCAGGGGAUGCUUCUGGAAGCCACACAGGACCGCUAAAGACCAUGAUCAUAUGGGUGGAGAGCCCGGCCCAACAGAACUGAACUCAUCUUCUGUUUUUCACCAUCUACAAACCAUAUGACCUUGAGCAAGUUACCUC
This is a long non-coding RNA of Pongo pygmaeus (Bornean orangutan), 800 nucleotides long. RefSeq lists it as uncharacterized. NCBI's taxonomy places the organism in Eukaryota, Metazoa, Chordata, Mammalia, Primates, Hominidae. The record is from RefSeq and is a predicted model, not a curated record. The transcript is spliced from 3 exons.